UAGGUUGAAGCCAGUUGUUUAGGGUAUUUAGCUGUUAACUAAAAGUUCGUGGGUUUGUGUCCCACCGGCCUAG
RNAcentral lists this transfer RNA (73 nucleotides) under Phyllomys pattoni (Rusty-sided Atlantic tree-rat). RNAcentral's name for it is "tRNA-Asn". It matches the Rfam family "tRNA". From Rfam's summary of the family: Transfer RNA (tRNA) molecules are approximately 80 nucleotides in length. Their secondary structure includes four short double-helical elements and three loops (D, anti-codon, and T loops). The record is from RNAcentral. Lineage: Eukaryota; Metazoa; Chordata; Mammalia; Rodentia; Echimyidae.